This is a long non-coding RNA of Portunus trituberculatus (swimming crab), 683 nucleotides long. RefSeq lists it as uncharacterized. The transcript is spliced from 4 exons. The record is from RefSeq and is a predicted model, not a curated record. NCBI's taxonomy places the organism in Eukaryota, Metazoa, Arthropoda, Malacostraca, Decapoda, Portunidae.
CCACCGGCGCUGCCGCCACAACCACCCGCUCUUGUGGCAGGGGCCGGCAGGGACGCGCUGGGACGCAUCCUCUUCACCGACCCACACAAAUACAAGGACGCCAUAUACAAGAGGUGGACACAGCGGGAAAAGAAGAAAAAAGAACUUCAACAUUAGCGGAACAAAGAACGAGAAGAAGUAAGGAGCUUCCGUUGCAACAUCUACAUCUACAUCUACCACUAAUGGCCACCGGGAUACGUGUCUUAUUUAAUGAUUUCCGAGGCCCCUGGCGGUCAUGGAGGGCGGUGAGCAGUGCCUGGGGUCAUGUUGCUUGUGUGGCCGGUGUGAAUGUGACCGGGGGCUUGGCAGGGGUGAUGGGAGGCUUGGCAAGGGUGGCAGGGGGGCGAGGUACAGAAAAUACCCCCCGGCGUACAUGCCCUCAAAACUGCAGGAGAUGGAGGACAGCGGGGAGAUGAAGGAAUUUGAGUAGCGGGCGGUCCGAGCGGCCCACAGCACCCACACCACCUCUGUACUCCACCACCCGCUUGUCAGGAAAUUCACCAACCACAUCAUGAAAACAGGAAACAAACCUCUGGCCAGGGAACUUGUCGAGAAGGUCAAAGGUCACAACUAGCCAGCCGGGAGUGGGUCAGGAUGGCACGGCUGGCUGUGGUGGUGGUGGUGGUGGGUGUUGGCAGCAGCAG